GUAGUCGUGGUUCAGUGGUAGAACUCUCUCCUUUCAUUCAGGAAACCUGGGUUCAAUUCCCAGCCAACACA
This 71-nucleotide transfer RNA is filed under the name Loxodonta africana (African savanna elephant). It matches the Rfam family "tRNA". Rfam says of the family: Transfer RNA (tRNA) molecules are approximately 80 nucleotides in length. Their secondary structure includes four short double-helical elements and three loops (D, anti-codon, and T loops). The record is from Rfam by way of RNAcentral. Lineage: Eukaryota; Metazoa; Chordata; Mammalia; Proboscidea; Elephantidae.